UGGGAAUAUUGGACAAUGGGGGCAACCCUGAUCCAGCCAUGCCGCGUGAGUGAUGAAGGCCUUAGGGUUGUAAAGCUCUUUCACCCGGGACGAUAAUGACGGUACCGGGAGAAGAAGCCCCGGCUAACUUCGUGCCAGCAGCCGCGGUAAUACGAAGGGGGCUAGCGUUGUUCGGAAUCACUGGGCGUAAAGCGCACGUAGGCGGACCGUUAAGUCGGAGGUGAAAUCCUGGGGCUCAACCCCAGAACUGCCUUCGAUACUGGCGGUCUCGAGUCCGGAAGAGGUGAGUGGAACUGCCAGUGUAGAGGUGAAAUUCGUAGAUAUUGGCAAGAACACCAGUGGCGAAGGCGGCUCACUGGUCCGGUACUGACGCUGAGGUGCGAAAGCGUGGGGAGCAAAACAGGAUUAGAUACCCUGGUAGUCCACGCCGUAAACGAUGAAUGCCAGCCGUCGGGCAGCAUGCUGUUCGGUGGCGCAGCUAACGCUUUAAGCAUUCCGCCUGGGGAGUACGGCCGCAAGAUAAAACUUAAAGGAAUUGACGGGGUCAUAGCUGUUUCCU
Molecule: ribosomal RNA, 559 nt
Filed under: uncultured bacterium
Lineage: Bacteria
Description: partial 16S ribosomal RNA
Rfam family: Bacterial small subunit ribosomal RNA
Source: RNAcentral